AACGAACGCUGGCGGCAUGCCUAACACAUGCAAGUCGAACGGACGGUAGCAAUACCGUUAGUGGCGGACGGGUGAGUAACGCGUGGGAACCUGCCUCGAAGUUCGGAAUAACCGCGGGAAACUGCGGCUAAUACCGGAUGUGGCCUGAGGGUCAAAGGCGCAAGUCGCUUCGAGAGGGGCCCGCGUCCGAUUAGCUAGUUGGUGGGGUAACGGCCGUACCAAGGCGACGAUCGGUAGCUGGUCUGAGAGGAUGAUCAGCCACACUGGGACUGAGACACGGCCCAGACUCCUACGGGAGGC
Molecule: ribosomal RNA, 300 nt
Filed under: uncultured bacterium
Lineage: Bacteria
Description: bacterial SSU rRNA
Rfam family: Bacterial small subunit ribosomal RNA
Source: RNAcentral